RNAcentral lists this long non-coding RNA (953 nucleotides) under Chinchilla lanigera (long-tailed chinchilla). RNAcentral's name for it is "lncRNA (ENSCLAG00000027494.1)". The record is from RNAcentral. Lineage: Eukaryota; Metazoa; Chordata; Mammalia; Rodentia; Chinchillidae.
AUGUCCCGAGGUGGGUUUUACAGCAUUUGUGGAACUUCGCACUUCCAUGCGUGGCUGAGGUUAGCGGGGAGGAGGGGAUCGCACAAGGCCUCGGCCGUCGGGCUCAGCCGGAGGGCGGGGCCGCUCCCAGCGCUUGCGCACUGCUCCAGGCGCGGCCCCGGCGCGGCCCCGGGCAAUCCGAGGGCGCCCGUUUGCUCGGCCAGCGAGGCCCCAGCUUUCACAGCAGCGGGCCCUUACGCGGAGGGGGCUCUUAAGACCUGAAACUCUGCGAAGGCGCGCCCGGCGGCCUCGCUCCCCGGGGACAGCGGGGAGCUCUGCGUGCCGCCACCCGCGGGGUCUGCCCCGGUGCUGUGCGGGCGGCUGAGGACCCGCCCGCCCGGUGCUGCUGGCUUCCAGCUCGCUGCCGGCUGAGGCUCGCAGCUUCCCCUGACUGCUCCGAGGGGGAAAUCGGUGACCCAGGAGCGCAAAGUGACUUUCCCUUCCUGGCUCCGGGGGAGGGGAGGGAGAGGGGGGAGGAGGAGGGAGGGGAAGGGGAGGGGAGGAGGGAGGUCCUAGGAGAGGGUGGGCUCCUUUCUCCCCCCUCGCUUGGAGUCUCUCUGCCCCUCCCCGCCAGGCAGGAGGGAGAGCAACCAGUCCGGGUUCCUGCUGAGGAAUGUGGGGACUACCAGGGCCCCAGGAAAUACCCCAAGGCCGGGUCGUUUAUGAGCAGGGGUUUCACAAGCGUGGAAGCCCAGGCGCCUGCAGCUGGAUAAUUGCUAGGUGGGCGGAGAGGGGCAGAGGGCGGCUCAGAGCGCCCUUUACCCAAGCAAGGCGCUGCCCUGCGCGGCCCUGCUCAGGGCUGCAGCCCGGCUCUUACUGAAGUCCCUUGUCCAGAGCAGCGUGGGGCGACUGCUUGCCGGUGGAGACCCAGGAAGUUUCUCUCCUCUCCUCUCCUCUCCUCUCCUCUCCUCUCC